Molecule: long non-coding RNA, 968 nt
Organism: Mustela lutreola (European mink)
Lineage: Eukaryota; Metazoa; Chordata; Mammalia; Carnivora; Mustelidae
Exons: 5
Source: RefSeq, a predicted model, not a curated record
AGCCUCCCCCAGAGAGAAUAAAGAAGUCACAUAUGGGAUCUAAGGCUAGAAAAGCAGCAGGAAUAAAGGUGAAAAUUUUGCAUCGUUCUUGCCUACAGCCUCUCUCAACCUUAAAUUCCACCUUGUCUGGAAUCCCACUGCUUCCUUGGUUUUGGGGGUUUCUUCCAGUGUGCUGUAUUGAUAACUGGCGGUCUCCAGGGAGCCAGCAAAUCGUCUGCCAGUCGUUGGAUAAUUUUAAAGAAAAAGCAAGUCAUAUAUAUGGCCAAUCCUGAUACGAACAGAGAAUGUGAAAUCCUCCUUCAGGGAGCAGCGCCCCAUGGAGUGGCAAAACCAUUUGAGCUGGAAUAUGAUCUAACACCCUCACUUUGGACACCUGUCACAAUGUCACCAAAUUGUCUUAGAAGGAGCACCGUCCGUGAACCUCUCAAGUCUCAAGACUUCACAAGAUGCUGCCAGAGCUCCAGAGACCUAAUGGCUUUCUCAGCAAUGCCAGCCAUAUUGAGUUGAGCUCCUCCAACACUGACUGAUGGCACUGGUAACGUAGAGACUUCCUCAGGGUCUUCUUUACAAAGCUAUCGAAUAAAUUACCUCAAUGUCAGGAGGAGGAAGAUGUUCUUUCUCUGGAUGAACCUGGAUGCUUUCUUCUCCUGGACAAUGAGAAGCUUAUUUCAAGAACAUCGAAUUCCCCCACACUCCAUUCUCUGGGGCACCUGGUCACAAUGGCAGAGUCCUCGCUCUACAGUGAGGGGUUUCAUAAGUCCAAAAGGGGAGACGACCCCCCAUGCAGGUGGAGAGCUGAACAAGAACAAGAAGGAAGUUGUCAAGAGCCUCUGAGAAAGUUCACAAGGUCUGUGUCUUCCAAACAAGCAAGUUACACACCAAGGACAAAAAAUUCUUUCCUAUUCAAUGUCUAGCAGAUGUCCAACAAAAAAAGAUGAUCAUCUUAGCCCAAAGAUGAACAAACUUCA